Molecule: transfer RNA, 73 nt
Filed under: Pseudorhodoferax soli
Lineage: Bacteria; Pseudomonadati; Pseudomonadota; Betaproteobacteria; Burkholderiales; Comamonadaceae
Description: tRNA-Glu
Rfam family: tRNA
About the family: Transfer RNA (tRNA) molecules are approximately 80 nucleotides in length. Their secondary structure includes four short double-helical elements and three loops (D, anti-codon, and T loops).
Source: RNAcentral
GACCCUGUCGUCUAGAGGCCUAGGACAUCACCCUUUCACGGUGAGUACCAGGGUUCGAAUCGCCGUAGGGUUG